ACUAUGCCGUACUUCCUUCCAGUUCUCUUCACAUUGGCUGUCUUCUCUUCCCGAAGCCUCUCCCAGAUAGUCCUGACCCAGUCAGAUCCAGUGCUGAAAAAAACAGGAGAAGCCCAUAAACUGACGUGUGUUGUCACUGGAUUUAAUGUUAACAGCUACUGGAUGGGUUGGAUCAGACAGAAACCUGGCCAAGGACUGGAAUGGCUUGUUUGGUACUAUGACCCUAGGAAUACCAUCUAUUAUUCAACAACAAUCCAAGGACGCUUUACUCCCUCCAAGGACAGUUCCAAUUUCUAUCUGCAAAUGAACAACCUGAAAACUGAAGACACGGCUGUGUAUUAUUGUGCAAGAGACACAGUGAAAGGAGUCCUAGGAGAACUCAUGCAAAAACCCUUUCUUUAAUGACUGA
This is a non-coding RNA of Crotalus tigris (Tiger rattlesnake), 409 nucleotides long. NCBI's taxonomy places the organism in Eukaryota, Metazoa, Chordata, Lepidosauria, Squamata, Viperidae. The record is from the annotation of a RefSeq genome assembly.